This 403-nucleotide ribosomal RNA is filed under the name Verrucomicrobiota bacterium. RNAcentral's name for it is "Verrucomicrobia bacterium partial 16S ribosomal RNA". It matches the Rfam family "Bacterial small subunit ribosomal RNA", at positions 355 to 776 of the family's 1533-position model. Lineage: Bacteria; Pseudomonadati; Verrucomicrobiota. The record is from RNAcentral.
UGGGGAAUAUUGCACAAUGGGCGCAAGCCUGAUGCAGCAACGCCGCGUGAACGAUGAAGGUCUUCGGAUCGUAAAGUUCUGUUGCAGGGGAAGAUAAUGACGGUACCCUGUGAGGAAGCCCCGGCUAACUACGUGCCAGCAGCCGCGGUAAUACGUAGGGGGCUAGCGUUAUCCGGAUUUACUGGGCGUAAAGGGUGCGUAGGUGGUCCUUCAAGUCGGUGGUUAAAGGCUACGGCUCAACCGUAGUAAGCCGCCGAAACUGGAGGACUUGAGUGCAGGAGAGGAAAGUGGAAUUCCCAGUGUAGCGGUGAAAUGCGUAGAUAUUAGGAGGAAUACCGGUGGCGAAGGCGACUUGCUGGACUUCAACUGACGCUGAGGAACGAAAGCGUGGGUAGCAAACAGG